RNAcentral lists this ribosomal RNA (454 nucleotides) under uncultured organism. RNAcentral's name for it is "partial 16S ribosomal RNA". It matches the Rfam family "Bacterial small subunit ribosomal RNA", at positions 329 to 799 of the family's 1533-position model. The record is from RNAcentral.
ACGUACACUCCUACGGGAGGCAGCAGUGGGGAAUAUUGGACAAUGGGCGCAAGCCUGAUCCAGCCAUGCCGCGUGAGUGAUGAAGGCCCUAGGGUUGUAAAGCUCUUUCACCGGUGAAGAUAAUGACGGUAACCGGAGAAGAAGCCCCGGCUAACUUCGUGCCAGCAGCCGCGGUAAUACGAAGGGGGCUAGCGUUGUUCGGAUUUACUGGGCGUAAAGCGCACGUAGGCGGACUAUUAAGUCAGGGGUGAAAUCCCGGGGCUCAACCCCGGAACUGCCUUUGAUACUGGUAGUCUUGAGUUCGAGAGAGGUGAGUGGAAUUCCGAGUGUAGAGGUGAAAUUCGUAGAUAUUCGGAGGAACACCAGUGGCGAAGGCGGCUCACUGGCUCGAUACUGACGCUGAGGUGCGAAAGCGUGGGGAGCAAACAGGAUUAGAAACCCGGGUAGUCCCAUA